UUUUGUAUGUCUCCCAUGCAGUCCUAAAUUGAGGACAGGACCCCUGCCUGCCUCUCCCUGGGGACCCUGGUUGCAUCUCCAUGAGGGCAGAUGGGGUGAAACUCUGAACCACAGAGAAGAGAGUAGAGUGGAUGUUGCUUGUCGGUCAGUUAGAUAACGGGGCUUCUUCAGGAUCACCCUUGCCUCCAUUUUCAGAAGAUCCUGUAGGAAUUUGCGCUGGCUUCCACUUUCCUCAGGCACAGAAACUCUUUGAGGAAGCAGGAUGCUCUUGCUUGGGGUUGACUGUCCUCGGGCUCUAGUGCCCAGUUACCUGAUGAUGGUUGCUUCAGACCUCAUACCUCCAGGGAGCUCUGUUGACCCAUCCGAAGCUCUGCCUACAAGAUUUGGAUUUGUUUUCCACACCAAAACAAAGACCAGAUUGAGACAGGGUCCUCUGCCAUCCCAAGUGGGCACUGCCACUAAUUUCUAAUGCCACCUUGGGAAAGGCAGCCCCAUCUUACUUCAUCAGGCCUAUCCCUUCAGAGACAUGCACAGAGUGAAUGGGUCAGAAGUGGUUCAGUUUCCUUUUUAAGCCUAUUGUUCCAGUUCUGUCUUGCCUCACAAUGCCCUUGAUGACCCAGGAGCCCAUUGGGCAAGAAUCUGGAAUUCCUUUGAGAAUCUCUAGGCUCAUGCCAGGCUGCACAUGGUAUUGCCCAGUCAGAGGCUUCAGCCUCAUCCUUAAGAAGGAAGUUGAACUGGAUUGUGCAAUGAUUUCAGAAGGCACCAAGCAUGAACUGAAAUGUAUUUGAAGAGAUGUAGCUCAUUGGGCUAUGAUUUAACAGGUUCGUUGGGGGCAUGUGUUCACCCAUUUACACAACAAAUAAGGCAGAAGUAGAG
RNAcentral lists this long non-coding RNA (876 nucleotides) under Canis lupus familiaris (dog). RNAcentral's name for it is "lncRNA (ENSCAFG00000051530.1)". The record is from RNAcentral. Lineage: Eukaryota; Metazoa; Chordata; Mammalia; Carnivora; Canidae.